Molecule: long non-coding RNA, 229 nt
Filed under: Gossypium barbadense (sea-island cotton)
Lineage: Eukaryota; Viridiplantae; Streptophyta; Magnoliopsida; Malvales; Malvaceae
Description: long non-coding RNA (GBAR_LNC009226)
Source: RNAcentral
GUUAGGGAAAAUGAGAGAAAAGAAAUUGGGUAAAUGGGGGAAUGAAAUCGGGUUUAAGUUGGGGAAGACGCAGACGCAGUUAGGGUCCAAAAAUCAAAAAUUUUGAUUUGGGGUUAUGGGAAAACUACUGAUAGCAGAGCAAAUCAAAGGGACUUCGGGGAAAACGAUUUGAGGAUAUCUCUUUGGGGGAAAUUGUAGGGGAUUUCUGAAAUUAGGGCUUGAAAGUAAU